Molecule: ribosomal RNA, 412 nt
Filed under: uncultured bacterium
Lineage: Bacteria
Description: bacterial SSU rRNA
Rfam family: Bacterial small subunit ribosomal RNA
Source: RNAcentral
CGCUAUGAAAGUAGCGAGUCUCACUUUGUGAGAACCACGUGACAGGUACUGCAUGGCUGUCGUCAGUUCGUGUCGUAAGAUGUUGGGUUAAGUCCCGUAACGAACGCAACCCCUGUCUUUAGUUGCCAGCAUUAAGUUGGGGACUCUAGAGAGACUGCCAAGGUGACAACUUGGAGGAAGGUGGGGAUGACGUCAAGUCCAUAUGGUCCUUACAUCCAGGGCGAGAAACGUGCUACAAUGGUUGGUACAAUGGGGAGCAAAAUCGCAAGAUCGAGCAAAUCCUCAAAACUAAUCUCAGUUCGGAUUGGAGUCUGCAACCCGACUCCAUGAAGUUGGAAUCGCUAGUAAUCGCGGAUCAGCAUGCCGCGGUGAAUACGUAUCCGGGUCUUGUACACACCGCCCGUCAAGUCAA